This 112-nucleotide ribosomal RNA is filed under the name human gut metagenome. The record is from RNAcentral.
GGCGAUUUUUGCUGUGGGGGUACACCCGGUCCCAUACCGAACCCGGAAGUUAAGCCCACACGCGCCGAUGGUACUGCAGGGGCAACCCUGUGGGAGAGUAGGGCGUCGCCAU